This is a non-coding RNA of Chryseobacterium gleum ATCC 35910, 34 nucleotides long. The record is from Rfam. Lineage: Bacteria; Pseudomonadati; Bacteroidota; Flavobacteriia; Flavobacteriales; Weeksellaceae.
AUGGGGAAAGCCGAAAACCCGAUCAGAGUAGGCA